AGUGAACGCUGGCGGUAGGCCUAACACAUGCAAGUCGAACGGCAGCACAGUAAGAGCUUGCUCUUACGGGUGGCGAGUGGCGGACGGGUGAGGAAUACAUCGGAAUCUACUUUUUCGUGGGGGAUAACGUAGGGAAACUUACGCUAAUACCGCAUACGACCUACGGGUGAAAGCAGGGGAUCUUCGGACCUUGCGCGAUUGAAUGAGCCGAUGUCGGAUUAGCUAGUUGGCGGGGUAAAGGCCCACCAAGGCGACGAUCCGUAGCUGGACUGUGAGGAGGAUCAGCCACACGGGAACUGGGACACGGUCCAGACUCCUACGGGAGGCAGCAGUGGGGAAUAGUGGACAAUGGGCGCAAGCCUGAUCCAGCCAUACCGCGUGUGUGACGGAGGCCUUCGGGUUGUAAAGCCCUUUUGUUGGGAAAGAAAAGCAGCAGGUUAAUACCCCGCUGUUCUGACGGUACCCAAUGAAUAAGCACCGGCUAACCUCGUG
RNAcentral lists this ribosomal RNA (492 nucleotides) under uncultured bacterium. RNAcentral's name for it is "partial 16S ribosomal RNA". It matches the Rfam family "Bacterial small subunit ribosomal RNA", at positions 29 to 507 of the family's 1533-position model. The record is from RNAcentral.